GACGAACGCUGGCGGCGUGCUUAACACAUGCAAGUCGAACGGAAAGGCCUGCUUUCCCUUGUGGAUUGCGGGUACUCGAGUGGCGAACGGGUGAGUAACACGUGAGUGAUCUGCCCCCAACUUGGGUAUAAGCCUGGGAAACUGAGUCUAAUUCCCGAUAGGACUGCAGGGUGGUGCCUGUGGUGGAAAACGAUUUUCUAGUGGUUGGGGAUGAGCUCGCGGCCUAUCAGCUUGUUGGUGGGGUAAUGGCCUACCAAGGCGGCGACGGGUAGCCGGCCUGAGAGGGUGGACGGCCACAUUGGGACUGGGAUACGGCCCAGACUCCUACGGGAGGCAGCAGAGGGGAAUAUUGCACAAUGGGCGGAAGCCUGAUGCAGCGACGCCGCGUGGGGGAUGACGGCCUUCGGGUUGUAAACUCCUUUCGACCGCGAGGAAGCCACCUGGUUGGAAGGGUGGUGACGGUAGUGGUAGAAGAAGCACCGGCUAACUACGUG
Molecule: ribosomal RNA, 494 nt
Filed under: uncultured bacterium
Lineage: Bacteria
Description: partial 16S ribosomal RNA
Rfam family: Bacterial small subunit ribosomal RNA
Source: RNAcentral